AAAAAGUCUAUAAAUAAGGAAGAGGGUGUGGAGAAAAAGGAACCCUCCUACACUGCUGUGGGAAUGUAAGUUGGUGCAGCCACUAUGGAAAACAGUAUGGAGGUUCCACAGAAAACUAAAAAUAGAGUUGCCAUAUGAUCCAGUAACCCCUCUCUUGAGGAUUUAUGUGGACAAAACUAAAAUUCAAAAAGGUGCAUGCACCCCUAUGUUCAUAGCAGCACUAUUCACAAUAGCCAAGACAAAAAAACCUAAAUGUCCAUUGACAGAUGAAUUGUUCAAGAAGUGUGGUACAUAUAUACAAUGGAAUACUACUCAGCCAUACAAAAGAAGGAAAUAAUGCCAUGUGCACCAACAAAGGUGGAACUAUAGAUUAUCUUAUUAAGUGAAGUAAGGCAAAAAGAGACAAUUACCAUAUAAUAUUACUUAUGUGUGAAAUAUAAAAUGUGACACAGUUGAACCUACCUGUGAAACAGAAAAAGGUCAAUAUCUGUUAGAUAAAUAAAAUUUUUUGAUACUGUGAAUUGAUCUCUAUGGACAGUUACAGGUAGAGAAGUCCAUCUCCUUAAAAGUUUCAGAGCAAAGAGAAAAGCACGUUGAAUUAAAUUUUGAACCAGAUUUUAAGGUGAAGAUUAUUUAUGAAAAAGCAAAAUAAACCAAGAAAAAUGUCUUUAUUAUUGCUCUUGGAAUGGAUUUACAAUGAGAUCCUGCUGUGUAGCACUGAGAACUAUGUCUAGAUACUUACAUCGCAACACAACAAUGGGAAAAAUUAUGUAUACAGGUAUGUGUAACUUGGUCCCCAUGCUGUACGGUGGAAAUAGAUAAAUAAAUAAAUAAAAAUUUAAAAAAUAUAUGUUUUUAAAGCUUUCUCCCGAAUAAGUCUUCUUUUUUUUCUUUUUUGGCCAUGCCCAUGACAUAUGGAAUUUCCCAAGCUAGAGAUCAAAUCUGAACCAGAGCUGCAACCUGCACCACAACUGUGGCAAAACCAGAUCCUUAGCCCACCACAGCACAGCAGGAACCUCUGCAUGAGUCUUUUCUUAGCACAUAAAAAUCACCAUUAACAUUUUGUUUUUUGCUUUAAUUGGUGGACCCUCCUUUGAUCUGACUCCUGUCAUAAAUUACACUGGGCAAUGUCUGUAAUAUGAAGCCAUUGCUAGAGAGUCGAGAAAGUCAUUUGGGAAUCCCCUCAGUUACUCUCUGGCUCUAUCUCUCUAGCCAAUAAUUCAGGUGCUUUUUGCCUAAGUGAAGGGCAAUUCAAUCAAAUCAUUUGACUUCUCCUCUAAAUUGGUAAGCUUACAUUUAUUUCUGGUCUUGAAAGACAGCUAACUCAUUCAACUAAACUGACCCAGUGGAUCACACAAACUAGAGCGCAGCCUAUAGCAUUUAAAUAUUUUGGGAGGGAGCUUCUCACCAGGUUUAGGUUUGAGGGGGAUGUUCCCUCUUCGGAGAAGGGCUCUGGGUUUCUGGCCCUCCCAGUCUCUAUUCCUGUUCCAGUUCCAGCUUCUGGGAGGCAGAGACUCUAGAGGACCUUAUUUGGGUAAUAUACCCUAUUAUUAGAUUGGGCAAGCAUGAUUUCACUUGUACACAUAUCUAGUUCUUCAACUCUACCCUCAAUUAGAAUAGCUCCUGUUUAAAGUUUCCAGUCAACCUAAAAAGUCUGGCUGAAUUAUUUACCAACCCUACACAAAUUUUCUUCAGCAAGUUGUCUUUGAUUCUUUGGCUUGCAACAUUAUUCUGUGCCAAAUCUGAAAAGCAUUCUGCAAAGUUUAUUCACAGGCCAAACAAUCAAAGAUGUGCCUUUUUAGUUUUGAGUGGUUUUUUUUGUUGUUGUUUUGUUUUUUUCUUUUUGGGAACUGCCACAAUUUCAUCAUAAAAACAAUUUCAAACAGAGCUGUCUGCCGUAGUAAAAUUGCCUGUUUGCCCACAUACAUGUACAGGUAAUUACCAGGGUUAACCGGUAAUGUUACUUAAGUAAUCAUUUUUAUAUUGUAUAAUUAUGUAAUUGUGAUUCCAUGUGGCGUAUCAUUAUAGAGGUUUCCAGAAGCACAUGACUUUUUUAGUAUAGAUAGAUAAAUUCAGGCAUGGCAACGUAAUUGGAAUCAUCCAGACUCAUGUGACCUAGACUCCCAGAGAACUUACAUUCUUUUUUUUUUUUGGCUUUUUACCUUUUCUAGGGCCACACCUAUGGCAUAUGGAGGUUCCCAGCCUAGGGGUCUAAUCAGAGCUGUAGCCGCCAGCCUACACCAGAGCCACAGCAAUGCAGGAUACGAGCUGUGUCUGUGACCUACACCACAGCUCACAGCAACACCAGAUCCCUAACCCACUGAGCAAGGUCAGGGAUCAAACCUGCAACCUCAUGAUUCCUAGUCGGAUUCGUUAACCACUGAGCCACGACGGGAACUCCAUGUUCUCUUUUCUUUCCUUCAGUUUUGAAUGUCCCUGUGAUCCAGAAUAAACAUGUCUGCAAAAUGCACCCUUAACUCAAAAGGAGAAGGAAGACUCUGUAUUUGUGUGCUUCUAUUGACACAAAUAUGAAAAUGGGCAGAAAUACAUAUCCUUUGAAAAAUGCCUUUGGGAGUUCCUGUUGUGUCUCAGUGGUAACGAACCCAACUAGCAUCAUGAGAAUGAGGGUUUGAUCCCUGCCCUCACUCAGUGGGUUAAGGACCUAGGGUUUUGGAGAGCUGUGGUGUAGGUCACAGAUGCUGCUCGGGUUCCACAUUGCUGUGGCUGUGACUGUGGCUGGUGGCUACAGCUCUGAUUCAAACCCUAUUCUGAGACUUCCAUAUGCCAUGGGUGUGGCCCUAAAAAGACAACAACAACAACAACAACAACAACAACAAGAUUUUGGCACAAAAAGCUUUUCUUUUUCUUUUCCAUGCUGUAAAUUUAAUCAAAACUUUAGACAAUAUCAGUGAAGUCAGAAUAGACUAAUGAAGGUAGAAAAACCAUAUCAUAGAUGCUUAAGCUAAAUGGCUCUUCUGUCUUUUCCCUCGAGGUCUUUGGACAGAACAUUGCAUAUCACACUCCCCCAGUCCUUAAAAACUUCAUAUCCUAAUAAGACUUCUUGUCAUCCUGGGGUUAUUUUCCCACUAAACCUACGUGGAAUUAGGUUUGCUGUAAAAUACAGUAAGAUUCCUUCAAAGUCCUUUAGGAAAAUAGAGAAUUUUACUAAGCAUAUAAGUUUCCCUUGUGAAGCAUUUGGAAAAGAGAGAUUGAUUUGAAAAAUUGUUGGCGUGCAUCAUUUAGUCAUUAUUUUCCUGUGUGAUUUUGGUAAUUUGUUGUGUAUUUUCAGAGAAAACAUGGUCUUUGAAAGUUUUUUAGGAGUGUGCUGAAAACGGCACCUUGUGCCAGUGUUUUUGUUCAUUUAUCAGCUUAAAGCAACUAAUUUUUCACUAAACCGUAAACAUUUGCAGUUUUAAUACAUGUUUCAUAAAACACAAAUUUCUAGUCAUUGCAACACCUCGGAUUCUCUAAAUUCCUAUUGUGUGGCUCUCAUAACCUGUAGGCUCUUUUCCAAACUUCUGCGCCAAAAUAUUUUUAUUGUAUCAACUUUAAUGAGAAAAAAUUAACUCUUGCAAAACAGAAAUUUCAGGGUCCAGGAAGUGGAUUAAUGAGGCCCCUUGAAUUCUUUUCCCUCUGAAGCUGGCUUCACGUCUGCUUUGCCUAUGGAAAAUAUUUAUAACACUCACAGUAUAGCCUAAGAAUUAAAGUCUGUGUUUAAAUCUUAGCCUUAAUUCCUACCAGUCUCGGAAAAACCCUUGACAUCUCUCAGCUUCCCUUUCUUCCCUAGCAUAUGAGGGCAUGUGUUCAUCCCUGCUUCUGGAAUGUGCUGGGGGCUUACAUAUCAGAGGGCAGAAGGUGUUCAGCAUUGUACCUUACGUCGUCUUUAAUACCUGUUAGCUUUAAAGUAAUGACAUUUUAACAUGGUAAUAUUUUUUCCUAAUUAAUUCUUGAACCAAAUUUAAAAUCUAGGUCAUGGAUUUUAUGGCAGGGUGCCGAGCAACAAAUGCCUGCUGUUUGGCUGCUCUUUUUCUCCCCGUUUUCCUUCAGUGUAUCCUUUCAUGCACGAGCUUGUAUUACCCCAAGUCUAUCCUCUUACCUGAAGUCCCUUCUCCUAUCUUUCACCAAAUCUGUUUUACCCUUUUUCCAAAGACAACUUAUUUCUUACUUGCUCUGUGAAGUCUUUCCAAUAGGUAAGAAACUAAAAUUUUCCCCUAUUUAUUGUUCUACUCAAGUUGGAAGGCUGCAGUUGGGUUAUGUUUUUAUUUGUUUGUGUGUGGCUGUGUGCAUGCAGAGAUGAUAUGGACUUGCACAGGAUUCUUUGUUCAGCUUCUUUUUUAAUCUAGAAGAGUGAUAUUUCCAGAGGGGGUGGUGCGCCGAAGUGCCAUUCCAGAGGUCAAGCCAGGUCUGAUGUGGUCAGCUGAUUGCCAGAGCAGCCUUAGACAGUGAGGGGGCAGUCAGAUACCCUUUCUAAACUAAACUAAAAAAAAAAAAA
Molecule: long non-coding RNA, 4492 nt
Filed under: Sus scrofa (pig)
Lineage: Eukaryota; Metazoa; Chordata; Mammalia; Artiodactyla; Suidae
Description: lncRNA (ENSSSCG00025062396.1, ENSSSCG00035065955.1)
Source: RNAcentral